RNAcentral lists this ribosomal RNA (542 nucleotides) under Trigonopterus sp. 616 MB-2015. RNAcentral describes it as "partial 16S ribosomal RNA". The record is from RNAcentral. Lineage: Eukaryota; Metazoa; Arthropoda; Insecta; Coleoptera; Curculionidae.
ACCUGGCUCACACCGGUUUAAACUCAGAUCAUGUAAAAUUUUAAAGGUCGAACAGACCUAAUAUGAAAGCAUCUUCACCAACAAUUAAUUUUAAUCCAACAUCGAGGUCGCAAUCUUUUUUUUCGAUAAGAACUCUAAAAAAAAUUACGCUGUUAUCCCUAAGGUAAUUUUGUCUAAUAAUCUAAAUUUUAGGAUCAUAAACUCAUAAAUAAAUGGAUUUAUAAAAAAAAAGUUUGUUUAAUUUUUAUGUCACCCCAACAAAAUAUUUCUUUAAUUAAAAUAAUUUAUUAAACAAAAAUUUAUUGUAAUAUAAAAAUAUAAAACUCUAUAGGGUCUUCUCGUCUUCUAUACAUAUUUAAGCUUUUUAACUUAAAAAUAAAAUUCAAAUUAAUUUUUAUAGAGACAGUAAUUUUCUUAUUCAACCUUUCAUGCAAGCUUUCAAUUAAAAAACUAAUGAUUAUGCUACCUUUGCACGGUUAAUAUACCGCGGCCAUUUAACUCUUCAUUGGGCAGGUUAGACUUAAAAUUAUAGUCAAUAAGCC